AGGGGGUCCCGCUGGCGGCGUGCCUCAGAAUGCAAGUCGAACGAUUAAGACUUCCUUCGGGAAGUGCAUAAAGUGGCGCACGGGUGAGUAACACGUAAGUAAUCUACCCUCGAGUGGGGAAUAACGUUCGGAAACGGACGCUAAUACCGCAUAACGCAGCGGCACCGCAAGGUGACAGUUGUUAAAGGAGCAAUCCGCUUGAGGAGGAGCUUGCGGCAGAUUAGCUAGUUGGUAGGGUAAUGGCUUACCAAGGCUACGAUCUGUAUCCGGUCUAAGAGGACGGUCGGACACACUGACACUGAAUAACGGGUCAGACUCCUACGGGAGGUAGCAGUCGGGAAUUUUGGGCAAUGGGCGAAAGCCUGACCCAGCAACGCCGCGUGAAGGAUGAAGUAUUUCGGUAUGUAAACUUCGAAAGAAUAGGAAGAAUAAAUGACGGUACUAUUUAUAAGCUCCGGCUAACUACGUGCCAGCAGCCGCGGUAAUACGUAGGGAGCAAGCGUUGUUCGGAUUUACUGGGCGUAAAGGGCGCGUAGGCGGCGCGGUAAGUCACUUGUGAAGUCUCUGAGCUUAACUCAGAACGGCCAAGUGAUACUGCAGUGCUAGAGUGCAGAAAGGGCAAUCGGAAUUCUUGGUGUAGCGGUGAAAUGCGUAGAUAUCAAGAGGAACACCUGAGGCGAAGGCGGGUUGCUAGGCUGACACUGACGCUGAGGCGCGAAAGCCAGGGGAGCAAACGGGAUUAGAUACCCCGGUAGUCCUGGCCCUAAACGAUGAAUACUUGGUGUCUGGAGUUUCAAUACUCCGGGUGCCGUCGCUAACGUUUUAAGUAUUCCCGCCUGGGG
RNAcentral lists this ribosomal RNA (842 nucleotides) under uncultured bacterium. Its description in RNAcentral is "bacterial SSU rRNA". It matches the Rfam family "Bacterial small subunit ribosomal RNA", at positions 26 to 878 of the family's 1533-position model. The record is from RNAcentral.